RNAcentral lists this ribosomal RNA (446 nucleotides) under uncultured bacterium. Its description in RNAcentral is "bacterial SSU rRNA". It matches the Rfam family "Bacterial small subunit ribosomal RNA", at positions 330 to 792 of the family's 1533-position model. The record is from RNAcentral.
GCCAGACUCCUACGGGAGGCAGCAGUCGGGAAUAUUGCGCAAUGGAGGAAACUCUGACGCAGUGACGCCGCGUAUAGGAAGAAGGUUUUCGGAUUGUAAACUAUUGUCGUUAGGGAAGAGAAAGGACAGUACCUAAGGAGGAAGCUCCGGCUAACUACGUGCCAGCAGCCGCGGUAAUACGUAGGGGGCAAGCGUUAUCCGGAUUUACUGGGUGUAAAGGGAGCGUAGACGGCAGUGCAAGUCCGGAGUGAAAGCCCGGGGCUCAACCCUGGGACUGCUCUGGAAACUGUAAAGCUGGAGUGCGGGAGGGGCAGGCGGAAUUCCUGGUGUAGCGGUGAAAUGCGUAGAUAUCAGGAGGAACACCGGCGGCGAAGGCGGCCUGCUGGACCGUAACUGACGUUGAGGCUCGAAAGCGUGGGGAGCAAACAGGAUUAGAUACCCCAGUA